This 808-nucleotide ribosomal RNA is filed under the name Acinetobacter baumannii Naval-17. RNAcentral's name for it is "bacterial SSU rRNA". It matches the Rfam family "Bacterial small subunit ribosomal RNA", at positions 30 to 832 of the family's 1533-position model. The record is from RNAcentral. Lineage: Bacteria; Pseudomonadati; Pseudomonadota; Gammaproteobacteria; Moraxellales; Moraxellaceae.
UGAACGCUGGCGGCAGGCUUAACACAUGCAAGUCGAGCGGGGGAAGGUAGCUUGCUACUGGACCUAGCGGCGGACGGGUGAGUAAUGCUUAGGAAUCUGCCUAUUAGUGGGGGACAACAUCUCGAAAGGGAUGCUAAUACCGCAUACGUCCUACGGGAGAAAGCAGGGGAUCUUCGGACCUUGCGCUAAUAGAUGAGCCUAAGUCGGAUUAGCUAGUUGGUGGGGUAAAGGCCUACCAAGGCGACGAUCUGUAGCGGGUCUGAGAGGAUGAUCCGCCACACUGGGACUGAGACACGGCCCAGACUCCUACGGGAGGCAGCAGUGGGGAAUAUUGGACAAUGGGGGGAACCCUGAUCCAGCCAUGCCGCGUGUGUGAAGAAGGCCUUAUGGUUGUAAAGCACUUUAAGCGAGGAGGAGGCUACUUUAGUUAAUACCUAGAGAUAGUGGACGUUACUCGCAGAAUAAGCACCGGCUAACUCUGUGCCAGCAGCCGCGGUAAUACAGAGGGUGCGAGCGUUAAUCGGAUUUACUGGGCGUAAAGCGUGCGUAGGCGGCUUAUUAAGUCGGAUGUGAAAUCCCCGAGCUUAACUUGGGAAUUGCAUUCGAUACUGGUGAGCUAGAGUAUGGGAGAGGAUGGUAGAAUUCCAGGUGUAGCGGUGAAAUGCGUAGAGAUCUGGAGGAAUACCGAUGGCGAAGGCAGCCAUCUGGCCUAAUACUGACGCUGAGGUACGAAAGCAUGGGGAGCAAACAGGAUUAGAUACCCUGGUAGUCCAUGCCGUAAACGAUGUCUACUAGCCGUUGGGGCCUU